This is a long non-coding RNA of Cyprinus carpio carpio, 257 nucleotides long. The record is from Ensembl. Lineage: Eukaryota; Metazoa; Chordata; Actinopteri; Cypriniformes; Cyprinidae.
AGAGAUGCCCUAAUUGCAAAAGAGAUAAUCCCAGCGCAGAGCAGAAUAUACUUCCUUUAACCACGGAUUCCUUAUUGCUCCCACAAAGCACUGGGAAAACAGGGGCAUGUGGAGGGGAUUGAAUGGGGAUAGACUUUAAGCUUUGAUUAGGUGCCUCUCUGCCACCCUGGCCUUAUGUUGCCUAGACCCUGAGGUUGAUAGAGGAGAAAAACUGAUGGUUUAAAGCCAAAUCCUCUUCUUCAUUACACUGCAGAGGG